GCGAUCGGCGGAGCUCCCACCUCCGCUUACAGCUCGCUGCCGCCGUCCUGCCCCGCGCCCCCAGGAGACCUGGACCAGACCACGAUGUGGAAACGCUGGCUCGCGCUCGCGCUCGCGCUGGUGGCGGUCGCCUGGGUCCGCGCCGAGGAAGAGAUUGAAGUACUCAUGGAGCAUCUCCUGUGCAGAGGCAGUAGGAUGGGAAGCCAGCAUAGGUUCUCCCUAAAGGUAGAGUGAGUGAAUGGAAAUAACUGGGAAGAAAACAGAAAGAAAAGGCAAAAAAAGAGUGAGUGGAAUAUAAACAGUACGGCAUGUGGCACCUGAACAGUCUUCAUGCCCAGGAAUCCCAAAUGCUGUUUACUCUACAGAAAGGAAUCACUUGAUUUUCCACUUCAGAAGCCAACCGCUCAACAACACUGGGGAAGAAAUGAAGAAUCCUGGGUCUCCUUGUAGUCGAUCAAGAAAUUUUGGGGGGAAAAAGGGAA
RNAcentral lists this long non-coding RNA (482 nucleotides) under Homo sapiens (human). Its description in RNAcentral is "non-protein coding lnc-LRRC58-5:2". Lineage: Eukaryota; Metazoa; Chordata; Mammalia; Primates; Hominidae. The record is from RNAcentral.